RNAcentral lists this long non-coding RNA (668 nucleotides) under Aquila chrysaetos chrysaetos. RNAcentral describes it as "lncRNA (ENSACCG00020011871.1)". Lineage: Eukaryota; Metazoa; Chordata; Aves; Accipitriformes; Accipitridae. The record is from RNAcentral.
GUGCCGGCCAGGCUAGACCCCCCAUCCCGCGGCAGGGCGAGCAGCUCCUCCACCUCCUCUUCCUUCUCCACCGAGCCCUAUUGCAAUGAUGGCGCACCCCCGCCACACGCCUGGGUCUGCCCGACGCCCCCCACCGAUAGCACCCACCAGCACGCAGCACCCACCGCCCAUGGCUACACUGGCUACCCCAGCACAGCUCCCCCAGCGAUGCCCCGUGUGCCCACCCCAGUGACGUCCCACCCGCGGGUACCUGUGUGUGCAGCAGACCCCGAUCCCGCCGACAGCUCCAGCACCUCCUCGGGGGAGUGGUACGAGAACGUGCAGGGCACGGAGCCGCCCGGGGACCCGUCCCCACGCCCCGGCUGGCCGGCUCCAUCCUGCCCCUCGGGGGGACACACGCGGGACCCCGACUCCUCUGAGGGCAGCGACUACGAUGACAUCCAGGGCUCUGCCUACUGAGCCUGCCCAACCGCCGCAGACAGAGGGGCAUGGCGGGGGGGGGGCCCUGGCACUGUGUGCAGCCAAGGAUCCGCCAUCCUGCUGCCGACGUCUCCUCUGGACUUUCUCCGGCCGUUUCCUCCAUGCCACCGGUCCCGGUGGCACCCUGGGGAUGUUCGGCGCAGGCGAGCCGUGCCGGGCUGCGUGAUGCAAUUAAAAGCUUUUCUCAG